UACGUAGGUGGCAAGCGUUGUCCGGAUUUACUGGGCGUAAAGAGCGCGCAGGCGGUCCUUUAAGUCUGAUGUGAAAGCCCACGGCUCAACCGUGGAGGGUCAUUGGAAACUGGGGGACUUGAGUGCAGAAGAGGAAAGCGGAAUUCCACGUGUAGCGGUGAAAUGCGUAGAGAUGUGGAGGAACACCAGUGGCGAAGGCGGCUUUCUGGUCUGUAACUGACGCUGAGGCGCGAAAGCGUGGGGAGCAAACAGG
This 253-nucleotide ribosomal RNA is filed under the name uncultured bacterium. Its description in RNAcentral is "partial 16S ribosomal RNA". It matches the Rfam family "Bacterial small subunit ribosomal RNA", at positions 524 to 776 of the family's 1533-position model. The record is from RNAcentral.